UACGGAGGAUCCGAGCGUUAUCCGGAUUUAUUGGGUUUAAAGGGUGCGCAGGCGGGAGAUUAAGUCGGCGGUGAAAUUUUGCAGCUCAACUGUAAAAGUGCCUUCGAAACUGGUUUCCUUGAGUGUAGAUGAAGUAGGCGGAAUUUGUGGUGUAGCGGUGAAAUGCAUAGAUAUCACGAGGAACUCCGAUUGCGCAGGCAGCUUACUAGACCAAUACUGACGCUCAUGCACGAAAGCGUGGGGAUCAAACAGGAUUAGAUA
This 261-nucleotide ribosomal RNA is filed under the name uncultured prokaryote. Its description in RNAcentral is "partial 16S ribosomal RNA". It matches the Rfam family "Bacterial small subunit ribosomal RNA", at positions 524 to 784 of the family's 1533-position model. The record is from RNAcentral.